UCAACCAGAGAGAAGCAGCCUGUUAGCCUAGCUCACUGCCUCCUCAUUUCCCCGGGGCAGACAGAUCUCAGCCUCACCUGCCAGUCUCGGAGGGGCACCCAAGGCAUUUCUAGAUGUAGGUUUCUGCUGUCAUAACCUGCAGUGAGGAUCUUAUUAUAGUUAAUACAGGGACCCCCUCAAAACAAAAUUCCAAUGUGGAUGCUAAAGCCUGAUCACCCAAUGGGAGUGAGGAGAGAAUAGACAGUAGCCGAGGCUGGAGAAUGGAGCCCCCUUGCCAUCCUGCAUGGUGUGUGCGAGGCUUCUGCUGGCAUAAAGCACGAGACAAUCCCAAGAACAGACUCUGGAGCCUCUUUGAGGUACCCCUGGCCACCCUUCUGACUGUCUCCAGCAUGGGUGGAGGCAAGGGUCAGACGAAACUGCUGAGAUAGCAACUUGGAGCCUGCCAGCCCCAUGCCAGCCCCAUGCCAGCCAGCUAUUGUUCCCCUCCAGCUCAGCCUCUCCAGGUCAGGACACCGACAAAGGAGGCAGGACCACUCCCUAAGCAAGCUCCGGCACGGAUCUCAGGAGUGACUGGGGGCCCUACAGACAGCAGCCCGCCUUUCGUGUGCAGAGCUGGGGGCUGGAAGAAACAUGUUCUGUGCCUGCUGCCAAGUUUCCUCCGAGAACAAUGCGGGAGAAGAUGGUGGCUUGGAGACUGAGAAGGGUGUGGUGCUUACAGGUCUGGGGGAGGUCAGGCACGCUGUUGCAGGGAAGCCACCUUCCCCUGUCCCCCUCGUGAAAGCAGGCAUCCUGAGACGGUGUUGACUCCUGGCAGGGAUGACUGCUGUUGAAUCCAAAGCUUUUGGGAAGACCGAAGGGAGCAGGUAGUCAAGGAGAGAGAGGCUGCCUCCUUCCCAGUUAGUGACUUGAGGAUUCAAGGGCAUGCUGCCAUGCCUAAUUUUUUAUGUGGAUGCUGGGGAUUGGAACCCAGACCCUCAUUUUUGUGAGGUUUUGUCAGCAGGGGCUAAAAGAAAGGUGAACAAAGGUGACGUAAUAGACAUGACAAAGUGGGCAGAGCAAAGCCCGUGGGGCCUCAAUCUUACUCAAGGAACCACAGCAACUAAGGAAUGCUGAGAGUUGGAGAAAUAGCCUUUCCCAGGGAAGAGCACACCAACUGGCUGUCCAAUACCAAAUGUCCCAAUCUGUCACUGAAGGCCUGGAAGACUCCCAGAGAGUUGCUUGUCUUUAGUUCAUGUUGGAAGGUUGAAGAAGCUGGGUUGCAAUAUCAUCAAAUGAUGACAGCAUAAUUGACAGCCACAGAGUUGAUACACUCACCAGCAGGGAUGAGAGCCUCUGUGGCUGCAGAAGAGAAUAGCUGGGAUCCUUCCGUAAGGAUGUCAUUGCAGAAGUGAAGCCAUGUUUCUGAAACUCCCCAAUAAAGCAAAGACUCUGCCUUGCUUGAUGAAACUAUUAAGAGGGAAAGUGGGUUCAUCUAUGGAAGGUGGGUGUGAUGGUUAAUGUUGAUUGCGAUUGCCAACUUAACAGAAUCUCAAAUCACCUGAGAGAUGGGCUUCAGGGCAUGCCAACAGCAGUAGAGUACCCUCUGAUUGAAUUAAUUGAAGUGGAAAGAUGGCCCCACCAUGGGUGACACAUUCCCUAGCUGGGAUGCUGAAUUGUACAAGUAGAGAAAGGGAGCUGAGCAGCAUUCAUUGCUCAGCAUUCAUUCCUUAUUGUGGAUGUCAUGUGACAAGCUUCUUCUGACUCCCACCACCUUGACUUCCUGCCAUAGCAGACUGUAUCUUUAGACUGUGAGCUAGAAUCAGCCUUUUCUUCCUAAAUUUGCUUUUGUGAAGGCCGUUAUCACUGCAGCAGCAGGAAAAGAAAUGAAGACAGCGGGGUUAGGCUCCAGGAACUUUGUACUGCAGAACUGGAACUCUCCGGGGAGCUGAGCUUCUAAUGAUGGGUUAAUGAGUGGGACUGAAGGAAAGGAGGAGGCUCCAAAACCAGCUGGCUGCCCCAUGAAGACUGUGAACACUUGAUCCCCAGAGUCAAACAAUCUUUAUCCACUCCUGAGUUUGCCUCAAGGCCAGCAGCGCCUACCAGAUUUAUGAACCAGAGAGUACAUGCUGCAGAUUUACAAUGCUUUGGCUUCAGCAGGGAGCCUGGAAUUCCUUCAGAACUAAGUCGGUGGACAUCCCUUUGUGGGGCUGAUGCUUUCAAGGCCCAGGAGAGAAUUCCUGUGAUGGUGUUUCUUCAGCAUCCCACCUCAACACUCUACAGCAUUCUGUUAUUUCUGGCAUCUCUACUUGGCAAGCGUUACCUCCUCUGAGCUGCAUGGCAGACCUCACUUUGACCACAGCAUUUCAUUGACUCAGACGGAGCUGGGGCCGUGACACUUCAAGCGGUGUCUAGAUCCAGGACAGUGACUUUGACAAAGGCAAUGCUGAAGUCAUGUCCAUGGGACAGUCCUGGCUAGAAUAUCCUGUGGCUAACCUAGUCAGCUUCAGUUCUGACUAUCUGGAUUUAUAGACCUGGGAACACACAGCCAGUCACUGGAUGCUGAAGACCAUGUGGAGAAAAGAGCAAUAACAGCAACAACAAAAAGCAAAACAGUGUAAUGGUUGUAAGAUAAACCUUUUUUGUUUUUUAUUUUUGAAGUAGGGUCUCUUGUAGCUCAGUCUGUUCUUAAAUUCACUCUGUAGCUUAGGUUGACCUUGAACUAUCUGAUCCUCUUAAUUCUACUUUGCUAGAGCUGGGAUUAUAGGAGUGCGCAACCACAUUCAAGCAUUACAUUGAAGCCUCUAGUAUUCUUGGCAAGCAUCCUACCAAGCAAGCUGCAUUCCCAGCCCUGUUCUACAUUUUUAUUGGAAAAUCUCACACAUUCAUAAAAGGAAGCAGACUAUGCUUCCUGUUCUAGAACCUACUGUGUUGGGGAUAUGAAGUGGGGAACACAAGAGCAAAUCCACACGUCCAGAUGGAGAAAUUUCCUCCCUGGAGGACUCUUGGCUCUCUCUCUAGACGGCCUGCGUGUGGAGAAUGGCAGGCUGUUCAUCGGUGUCGAGGUAGCUGCUGCUGUGCUGUGACAUGAGGGGACACUGAGAGGUAGAACAUUUGCUGGCAAAGGCAGGGAGGCCCAGGCUUAAAAGAUCCAUUUGGAAGGUAAGGUGAGGCAUGGAGGGUAGGUUCUGGGUGCUGAGUGUUUCCAGUUAAGUAAUAUUCUACAGUGCUAAAACAGAAUAAACUUUGUGAGCCUGAAAAUUCUCUCUCUCUCUCUCUCUCUCUCUCUCUCUCUCUCUCUCUCUCUCUCCUACAGUGCUGAAAGAGAAUAAACUUUGUGAGCCUGAAAAAUUCUCUCUCUCUCUCUCUCUCUCUCUCUCUCUCUCUCUCUCUCUCUCUCUCUCUCUCGUCUAUACAUGUGAGGGUUUACAUGCUCAGAGGUCAGAAGAGGGCAUUACGUGUGCUGAUUUAUCCAUUCCAGCUUUAUUGAAACGGGGUCUCUCACUGAACCUGGAACUAAACUGACACCCCACAACCCUAGUGAUCCUGUCUCUGUCCUGUCCCCACCUUGCUGGAGUUACAGUUGGGUCAGUGACUACACCUGGCUAUUUACAUUGGAGUUUGAGCUCUGGUCCUCAUUCAUAUUUGUGAAAUAACUGCUCUUACAUGCCGAACCAGUGCCCUGACGGUGCUGCUCAUAGAGCCAAGCCUGGUGGCACCUUGACUUCUCCACGGCAGUUUUCCUAAGGCUGGAAACUGUGGUUGUUUCCCGGCAGGCUUCAGGGAACCCACAAACUUCUUGAACUCGAUCCAAAACAUGCUGUGCCUGAGUGUUGCCCUGGGUCCAGGGUCUAGUGAAAGGGCUUUUGUGAACAAAGCAUUCUCUGAAGGGUGAGGAACUAUGGCGAGUCUCAUCACAUAGGGAUCUUGUGACCUGCCAACCUCCUGGAUUCUGUAAGUAACUUCUUGGGAUUGCCCUGUAUUUCCUUCAGGGCGGAAACAAAGACUCCACUUGUCUCCAAAUUUGGAACAAUUUAUUCUACUUCCAGAUUGCUUAUUUGGGCAUUUUUUGCGCAUGCGUGUGUGCAUGCGUGCGUGCGUGCGUGUGUGUGUGUGUGUGUGUGCGUGCGUGUGUGUGUGUGUGUGUGUGUGUGUGUGUGUAAUCUGUAGGAGAAGGGAGAAAGACCGCAUUCUCUAAGAGUGCUGUAUGUGUGUGCCCAUGCCUGUGAGUGUGCAGAAACCCCUAAGCAGAGGACUUUGACUCUUAGAGCUGGCCAGUGUUUCUUUCCCUUUCCUUCUUUAUGUUUGCACAGUGUCUCCACUUUGAAGACCUGCCUUGCCAUUACUUCAGAACCCUGUCUGCUGCCCUCUGAUCCACACAGCCGUUCAGGGGAUGGCUCCGAUCCCGCGUGUGCCAGCAACUGGGGCCAACUGCAACAGUGGAAACCAAGACCGCUCUGGAAAAAUAUUUGUUUAAUUAGCAGAAAUGAUCUGUGAUCCGAAUCCAUGUUUAACUGCCUGGCCCACGGCCAAGGCUGAUGAAUUUCCCUUCAGGGCUGUGUUUGGUUUUGAGUUGGGUAGUGGUGUUGGGCUCUGCGACUUGUACCCUGGAGUAGGGAGAGGCUCGGCUCUGCUCAGAUAUGAAAUGUUUUCCUGACAGGCAGUGCCAGGAGGGGAAACUGAGGUGACUCUCCCCAGGCCUGGAAGAUUUCCUCACCACCUGUGUUAUGCCCUUAGAGGGAGUCCGCUUGCAGAGGUCCUCCAUCUCCCACAAGUGAAUGUCUCUCCAGCUGAAUCAUGAGGCACGCUCAAACUUCUUCUACUGGACUCUGGGUGCUUAGGCUCAAGAUGUAACUCCUGUCCCUACGCCUCAUAGGAAGUCUAGAAGUUGCUGGAAAAGCUGGAGCCUCCUGGUUUUAAGGCCUGUGUGCAGGCUUCCGGUCAUGGGUUUCACUGACCUUUUGAUAUUGUAAAAUGAUGUUAUCAUCUACAGAGUUCACUCUGGAGAACCUACCCAUCGAGUUACAAAAAUUAACACCCCUCCCUUCCUCUCUCUUUCUGUUUCUCUGUCUCUCUCUGUCUCUGUCUCUGUCUCUGUCUCUGUCUCUCUCUCUCUCUCUCUCUCUCUCUCUCACACACACACACACACACACACACACGGUGUUUUAGAUACAUUUAGGACUUCAGGGUAGAUUGCAGUUUGAACCCACCUGGAAACCAUGCUCCCGCCCCCAGUUCAUAAUGUGAAGCCUGAAGUCCUAACCCCCAGGACCUUGGAGCAUGAGUGUAUGGGACACAGAUCUUUAUAGAGGAAAUUACAUUCAAACUAGGGCAGAUGAAUGGGCCCCAGUCCAGUCUGCCCAGUGUCUUCUUCAGAAGAGGCUAGGAUUGUCUACAGUGCCAGCUGUGUAAAGGAACAGUCACAUGAGGACUGGCUAUCUGCAAACCAUGGAGGGAGUCAUACAGCAACCUCAUCUAGGCGGGUCCUUGAGCUAGGAUUCCUAGCUUCCACAACUGUGAAACAAGAAGCCUCUGCUAUUUAAGUUCCCCAGUCUUGGCUGUUUUGCAAUGUCUGACCUAGCUGAUGAACACUGCCCCAACACCUUCUCUGGAUGAUUGAAUCCUUCCCUUCCGUCUUGCUCAGCCGUAUGAUAUUGGCUUAACACAAUACAAAUGUAUAUUUCUAUAGUCUGGAGGUCGGAAGUCCCAAGUUGGGCCAAGACAGGGCCAGCCUGAGAGUGUUAACUUCAGAAUACAAGGGGGACUGUAGUGGCACAGUAGACAUGGGUAAAGGGCUUGGCUUUGUGCCAAGGGAGAGAGCUGCUUGUGGUUUUGUCUCUUGACUUGCUCUGGAAACAAGGCGAUAUCAACUUUCAUUUUCUCAUCUGGAAAAUGGGGUGAUACUGCCUUAAGUUAAACUUAACUGGACCAAAAGACUCAGGAUUCCAUAUUUGGAGUUCCUUCAUAAGGAGCUGAAACCAAAUGUGGUAGUAAGUCAACCAAAGCUUAGUGUUGGAUUUUCCUCUGAUAACAAGUAACUGAGUCUCAGCCAAUCACAGCAGCUGAACAUCAGCCACACACAACAGGCAACUGAUCCGACUAUGUUCAAAUAAGGCAAAGAUGGAGCUAGAACCAAUUUAGUUGCUUCUGCACCUCGCUUCAGCUGUCUCCACUCCCAUUUCCCAUUUUCUGCCCCCAUGGCCCAGUGGAGCUUCUCCUGGUUCUGUGCUGUCUCAUCCAUCCAUUUGUCUUUCUUCAACUUGAACUCUUUUAAACUGAUUUCUACGGUUUCUAUUGUUAGCUGACUCUACCUUGUUGGGCUAUGAAAAUUAAGUAGAAAUUUCAGCUUUGCAGUGGAAUGACAGUAGGUGUUCUGUAAAUGCCGGUUGUCAUGACA
Long non-coding RNA from Arvicola amphibius (Eurasian water vole), 6373 nucleotides. RefSeq lists it as uncharacterized. The record is from RefSeq and is a predicted model, not a curated record. The transcript is spliced from 9 exons. Lineage: Eukaryota; Metazoa; Chordata; Mammalia; Rodentia; Cricetidae.